ACGUGGGCAAUCUGCCCUAAAGACUGGGAUACCACUUGGAAACAGGUGCUAAUACCGGAUAACAACAUGAAUCGCAUGAUUCAAGUUUGAAAGGCGGCGUAAGCUGUCACUUUAGGAUGAGCCCGCGGCGCAUUAGCUAGUUGGUGGGGUAAAGGCCUACCAAGGCAAUGAUGCGUAGCCGAGUUGAGAGACUGAUCGGCCACAUUGGGACUGAGACACGGCCCAAACUCCUACGGGAGGCAGCAUG
This 247-nucleotide ribosomal RNA is filed under the name uncultured bacterium. RNAcentral's name for it is "partial 16S ribosomal RNA". It matches the Rfam family "Bacterial small subunit ribosomal RNA", at positions 115 to 353 of the family's 1533-position model. The record is from RNAcentral.